UUGUACAGAACCUUUUCCAAAAGAUCUUGUUCCGAUAAUUAUAGCACGUUUAUUAUCACGCAAAGCUCCUGCCAUGAUUUCAGGGGCUGAUGCAGUUCCGCUGUUUAUAAGAACAACAAUAGGGAUUCCGUUUGUUAAGUCACCUUUUUUGGCGCUGAACUCUUUUGUAUUUUCUUCAGUUCUUCCUCUAGUAGAUACAAUUUUUCCUCCGUCAAGGAAUAUAUCUGAAGCAGAUAUAGCUUCUUCAAGUAAACCUCCUGGAUUAUUGCGUA
Molecule: non-coding RNA, 272 nt
Filed under: bovine gut metagenome
Source: RNAcentral